Molecule: ribosomal RNA, 404 nt
Filed under: uncultured bacterium
Lineage: Bacteria
Description: bacterial SSU rRNA
Rfam family: Bacterial small subunit ribosomal RNA
Source: RNAcentral
AACGAACGCUGGCGGCGUGCCUAAUACAUGCAAGUCGAGCGAGAAAGUCUCUUCGGAGGCGAGUAAAGCGGCGCACGGGUGAGUAACACGUGGGCAAUCUGCCCUCGAGUCUGGGAUAACCCGGGGAAACUCGGGCUAAUACCGGAUACGGCUGCGGGGUCCUUGGACCCUGUGGAGAAAGAUGGCCUCUUCUUGAAAGCUAUCUCUCGAGGAUGAGCCCGCGUCCUAUUAGCUAGUUGGUGGGGUAACGGCUCACCAAGGCAAAGAUGGGUAGCUGGUCUGAGAGGAUGACCAGCCACACUGGAACUGAGACACGGUCCAGACUCCUACGGGAGGCAGCAGUAGGGAAUUUUGGGCAAUGGGCGAAAGCCUGACCCAGCAACGCCGCGUGUGGGAUGAAGGCC